AGCGCGUAUUGUAUGUGUGAGUAAUUACUGAUCACCAUUCUGAUGAGAUUAAUUUCCCCUGAUAAAUGGUAUUACAGUAUUAUGGCAAUCGUAAUGUUUGGAUUUAAUUAGUAAGUGUGCUUAAGUAAAAGUGAGGUUUUAUAUCGGAGUAAACAGUAACAAUGUUUGUUUUGCAUUCCAGAUCCUUGUAAUGCUUUGGAACAGCCCAGAACCACUCCAGCCACUCAAGCACCUGUUGAUCAACGCAUUAUCUAUAUCACUGGUGGUGUCAUCUUCACCAUCAUCAUCAUCAUCACUACAUGUGUCAUCUGUCUCAGAAGAAAGUGCCAAUCUGAAAAUGGUACUUUUAGGUGGAUUUGGAAAGCAGUGCCAAAAGAAAGAAGGCCCACUGUCUUGGUCUCUGAUGCCAACUGAAACAAGACCUUUAAUGAUGAUAACACUGAAUAAGAAAAAUAAAAAUCAAUUCAUGCUCACUCUAAAUAUACUGAAUAAAAUGGUAAGAUCUAAAUUAACAGUUUUUUUCCAAGUCAAAAAUGUUCUGUAAUAUUACUGAAUCUAUUUAAAUACACGAAUCAGCAAAAUACAGUUGUAUGGGUUGAAUCAGGUGGAAAUAGCUCUUUAAGGUAACAAUUGCAGGUCAUCACUUUUUACAGUAUAAGCUUGAGUGAGCAUGAGUUGUUUAUUAUGUAAUUUAGCUGUGGAAGCUUAAAAUAAUUGUAUUAUUAAUUAUUGUUAUAUAUUGUAUUAUAUCAUAUUACCCUUUAUAUCACUCCAUAUUGUUAUCUAAUCAUUAACCUAUAAAAUAUUAAGUAUUUGUAACAGAAUAUUAGCUCACUUGUUAACAUA
Molecule: long non-coding RNA, 846 nt
Organism: Carassius carassius (crucian carp)
Lineage: Eukaryota; Metazoa; Chordata; Actinopteri; Cypriniformes; Cyprinidae
Exons: 3
Source: RefSeq, a predicted model, not a curated record